UCGUGCUCUAAGCGUAGUAACCAAAUUCUCGCUUCUGAAGCCGGCCCGGGUCCUGCCGUAAAACCCCCUAUAUUUUUCUGGUUGACCUCGGAUCAGGUAGGAAUACCCGCUGAACUUAAGCAUAUCAAUAAGCGGAGGAAAAGAAACCAACAGGGAUUGCCCUAGUAACGGCGAGUGAAGCGGCAACAGCUCAAAUUUGAAAUCUGGCCUUCGGGUCCGAGUUGUAAUUUGCAGAGGAUGCUUUUGGCGCGGUGCCUUCCGAGUUCCCUGGAACGGGACGCCUUAGAGGGUGAGAGCCCCGUACGGUUGGACACCAAGCCUCUGUAAAGCUCCUUCGACGAGUCGAGUAGUUUGGGAAUGCUGCUCUAAAUGGGAGGUAAAUUUCUUCUAAAGCUAAAUACCGGCCAGAGACCGAUAGCGCACAAGUAGAGUGAUCGAAAGAUGAAAAGCACUUUGAAAAGAGGGUUAAAUAGCACGUGAAAUUGUUGAAAGGGAAGCGUUUACGGCCAGACCUUUUCCUGGCGGAUCAUCUGGUGUUCUCACCAGUGCACUUCGCCAGGUUUAGGCCAGCAUCGGCUUCUGUAGGGGGAUAAAAGCAGUGGGAAAGUAGCUCCCUCGGGAGUGUUAUAGCCCUAAGCAUAAUACCCUUACGGGGGCCGAGGACCGCG
Molecule: ribosomal RNA, 668 nt
Filed under: Sordariomycetes sp.
Lineage: Eukaryota; Fungi; Ascomycota; Sordariomycetes
Description: eukaryotic LSU rRNA
Rfam family: Eukaryotic large subunit ribosomal RNA (bases 83-668)
Source: RNAcentral